This 365-nucleotide ribosomal RNA is filed under the name uncultured bacterium. Its description in RNAcentral is "bacterial SSU rRNA". It matches the Rfam family "Bacterial small subunit ribosomal RNA", at positions 440 to 793 of the family's 1533-position model. The record is from RNAcentral.
CAGUGAGGAAGGCGGGUACGUUAAUUAGCGUGCUUGGUUUGACGUUAGCUGCAGAAGAAGCACCGGCUAACUCCGUGCCAGCAGCCGCGGUAAUACGGAGGGUGCGAGCGUUAAUCGGAAUUACUGGGCGUAAAGCGCAUGCAGGUGGUUUGUUAAGUCAGAUGUGAAAGCCCGGGGCUCAACCUCGGAAUUGCAUUUGAAAACUGGCAGACUAGAGUACUGUAGAGGGGGGUAGAAUUUCAGGUGUAGCGGUGAAAAUGCGUAGAGAUCUGAAGGAAUACCGGUGGCGAAGGCGGCCCCCUGGACAGAUACUGACACUCAGAUGCGAAAGCGUGGGGAGCAAACAGGAUUAGAUACCCUGGUAG